This 610-nucleotide ribosomal RNA is filed under the name uncultured bacterium. RNAcentral describes it as "bacterial SSU rRNA". It matches the Rfam family "Bacterial small subunit ribosomal RNA", at positions 56 to 675 of the family's 1533-position model. The record is from RNAcentral.
UGCAAGUCGAGCGGAGACAGUGAGUAGCUUGCUAUGAGCUGUUUUAGCGGCGGACGGGUGAGUAACGCGUGAGCAACCUUUCCCAGACAGGGGAAUAACACACCGAAAGGUGUACUAAUACCGCAUAAGACCACGGGAUCACAUGGUUCUGAGGUAAAAGAUUUAUCGGUUUGGGGUGGGCUCGCGUCCGAUUAGGUAGUUGGUGAGGUAACGGCCCACCAAGCCGACGAUCGGUAGCCGACCUGAGAGGGUGAUCGGCCACAUUGGGACUGAGACACGGCCCAAACUCCUACGGGAGGCAGCAGUGGGGAAUAUUGGGCAAUGGAGGAAACUCUGACCCAGCAACGCCGCGUGGAGGAAGAAGGUUUUCGGAUCGUAAACUCCUGUCCUUGGAGACGAGUAGAAGACGGUAUCCAAGGAGGAAGCCCCGGCUAACUACGUGCCAGCAGCCGCGGUAAUACGUAGGGGGCAAGCGUUGUCCGGAAUAAUUGGGCGUAAAGGGCGCGUAGGCGGCUCGGUAAGUCUGGAGUGAAAGUCCUGCUUUUAAGGUGGGAAUUGCUUUGGAUACUGUCGGGCUUGAGUGCAGGAGAGGUUAGUGGAAUUCCCAGUG